Molecule: ribosomal RNA, 323 nt
Filed under: uncultured Streptococcus sp.
Lineage: Bacteria; Bacillati; Bacillota; Bacilli; Lactobacillales; Streptococcaceae
Description: bacterial SSU rRNA
Rfam family: Bacterial small subunit ribosomal RNA
Source: RNAcentral
CAGCUCGUGUCGUGAGAUGUUGGUUAAGUCCGCAACGAGCGCAACCCCUAUUGUUAGUUGCCAUCAUUCAGUUGGGCACUCUAGCGAGACUGCCGGUAAUAAACCGGAGGAAGGUGGGGAUGACGUCAAAUCAUCAUGCCCCUUAUGACCUGGGCUACACACGUGCUACAAUGGUUGGUACAACGAGUUGCGAGUCGGUGACGGCGAGCUAAUCUCUUAAAGCCAAUCUCAGUUCGGAUUGUAGGCUGCAACUCGCCUACAUGAAGUCGGAAUCGCUAGUAAUCGCGGAUCAGCACGCCGCGGUGAAUACGUUCCCGGGCCUU